GGGGUUUUAUUCUAUUACAACCAUAAUCACAGGGAAAUUUCCCAUCAUAGGCCCCGGGGUUGGUAAUAAAACAGUUUCUCAUGAGAGGCGAGCACAGAUGAAAUACAAAUACCAGCACAGAAACCAAGAAUUUUAUGCAUGGAGGAGAGCAAGGAGCUGGCAAGAGCUACCCUUGUUGGAAGUGAGGAACCAGAUGCAUAAGGAAAGGGAAUGGUGCUUAUUUCCUAAGUGACGCUCAGCUCCAAGAAGGCUCGACAUGUUCCCUCCUGUUGCCCCAAGCCAUGAUCGAUUUGACCCAAAUAAUUUGACAGAUGCUGUUCCAACCUAUUCUUAAAAACCUCAGCAGUGGAGAUACCACACCGUUAGACCCAUGCUUUGCUUUCACCAGAGAAAGGCAGUAAAGUUUCCUAUUGGAAAUUAAACCAACAACUUCUUGCUCUAUUGCCUGUGGCCAGGAAGAAAUCCUUAGCUUGUUCCCUUAAUGUCUGCAAGAGACUUUUUCAGACUAGAGGACUUCCUUUUUUCUUACAGACUGCAGGAGCCUGUCCUCCAUAAAACACAGCUUAAAACUAAGUCUAAAGAACAAAGUCCAUAAAAUACAGCUUAGAAAAGGAGGACUAUAGUUAGAGGACUCAGGGUCCUCCAUAUCCAUUGAAAAAAUUCUGGGCUCAAAAAACUUUAAAAGCAGGAUGUAAACUAAUCCAUUUUUCCUUUUUUUUUUUUUUUUUUUUUGGUGAUCAAAGUUCUCUAGACAUUGCUCAUUCUUGCCAACAUCCUCUCCACCUUAACUGAGCCAAACGUUCUUAGGAUCACUCAGCCAAAACAUCUUGAGCACCCCAAACAGAAGGGGCCCUAUCCACCUAACACAGCACCAGGAGUCAGCCAAGAAGCUGCUUUGGGAGACAACUCAGGAAAUCAGCCAGCAGUGCCAGGGAAGGAGUUUGACAGUGCCACCAGAGCAAAGGAUGUACCCCUCCACAACAGGGCUUCAUAACCCUCCUCCAAUCUUUACCCCAGAAAUACAUGAAUUUUCAGAUCUCAGCUAACUGGCACACCUAGGAGCAAAUUCAAACCUGGACAGAAGCUCCAGGGCUGAGCUUAAAUGGAGCCCUGGGGCCAUGGGCAGGGGUACAGGAGGCACCAGCUGAGGAGACCCAGUGCUCUGACACACACUACCUGUGAAAAUAUUUAUUAUCUGUUAAAUUCAUCUUUUACAGGUAUUUCUAUCCUUCUCAGUAUCUGGGGUUUAUUCACUUAAAUAUCUCAUCUGUGUUACUUAUUAUAGCACCCUAUAAAAUCUUUCUUUUCCUGAAAGCACUUGCUGCACCCACAAACAUACUUUUAAUUUUAUUUGGCCUGUCUAUUAAUCUUUACAUCAAUGUUACUGCUUAAAUCAUUAAAAAAAAAAA
Molecule: long non-coding RNA, 1409 nt
Filed under: Strigops habroptila (Kakapo)
Lineage: Eukaryota; Metazoa; Chordata; Aves; Psittaciformes; Psittacidae
Description: lncRNA (ENSSHBG00005018364.1)
Source: RNAcentral